AGAGAGAGAGAGGAGGGGCGUGUGUGGGGUACGAAGGCGAAGAAGAAGGGGGUAGUUAGCGCUUGGCCUAUCCCCUAUCAUCUAUCUAGCGGGGGUUUAGAAACGGGACUUGUGGCGCGGCCGGCCGGCGAAGGUGGGUGGUGGUGCGGGAGGGCGAGAGGGGUCUAAGCCGAGAGGCACCUCUAAAGGCCCUAGAAAGGCGGCCGCUGCAGCGGGUACCGCACGAUGACUGUACCAGGCGGCGCGGUGUUCGACGGCGGCACGUGUCCAGUCCGAGGCGAGGCAGGGGGAGAGGAGCGAGGCUAGACGGCCCACCGCCGAGGCCGGCUCCCGGGCUCGAAACUGCCCGAGGACUAGAUCGGUUUCUAACCAAAAACGAAGGGGCCUCUAGAAAGGCACCUAAGCCAGCGGCGCGAAGGUAAAAACAUCGGAGCCAAAAAGGAGGGAAAGGGCAACAUAAAGCGCAGGCUAAGCCGUCCAAAGGUCAGGUAGAGCGGCACGAUAAAGCCUGGAGCGAACUGACCGAAGAACUGAGUACAAAAAAACCAAGUCAGCGAAGCUAGGCCGCUCGGUUCUUCUACUUGCCGCGCGGCUAGGGGCGCCGCCGGCCGCGGCUGCGGCGCUGCUGCGGGUUCUUCUUACGCCAGCGGCUCUACCGGUCCGUGGAGUGGCAGCUGUGCCUGCUGCGGAAGCGGCCGGAGGAGCUCGAGCGGCGGCUGCUGCUGCGCCUGCCGGACGCGGCGCGCGACCUCGCGCGCGGGGGGCGGCGGCGCCUGCUCCGGCCGGAGACCAUGCCGGCGGCCUUCCGGGAGCUCGUCGCGUGGGGCGAGUACCAGCGGCGGUGGAUGCCGUCGGAGCGGCGCGAGGCGGACGACGACAGGCAGGGGAGGCAGCUGCAGUUGGCGGCGACGCCGGGGCUGCCGUGGUGGCGGGAGGUGACGCGGCGGAGACCGCCGAGCAGGAGCCGGCAGCUCCGGCAGUCCGACGAAGACCACCGGCCCCGACUGCGGCUACGGCGUCUACGCAGGCCCACGGCAGGCCGGCUACACUAGAGACACGGCGGUUUCUACUAACUACGCUUCUAGCGGGAGGUUCUAGACGAACCCGAGGGUUUCAGACCCGUACCGCACGAGGCCCACCACUGGUCCCGGUGUUUGGACUGGAGCAGCGGCCACAGUAGUGGGUGGCGGCUCCUGCGGGCCAGAGGUAGUCGACGACACUACUACUACAGUUUCAAGGGUCUGGACGGCUCCCAACGUUGGAGUCUCUUCUUCCUUAUGGGUCACCUAGGUAGGGACGGCCUAUAGUUCUUGUCGUAGAUACGGAGACUACUCAAGGCGUACAUGAGGAAGUUCUAGUCCGGCACGAGGGCCCGUAUGAGCGUACUGACCUGGCUCACGGGGAAACACGUGGGACCCCUCUUGCGAGCCGCGGCGCUAGGCGCGUUCAUAGUGAUGUCAACACAAGGUACGGGACUGAAGUCUUUCCCACACACGGCCGCACCUCUGUACACACUCAUACGAGUACCCCACAAACUCACGACCGAGGUGGGUCGCGUUAUGGCGUGAGCGGAAACGUUCCUACCGUGGCCGACGUUAGCGGCGCAGACAAAGAAACGCGUGUGGUGGCUACUCGAGGCGGGCGACAUACAGAGGUGACCCAGACGCCACGGUAGGGGAUCCCGGAGUCGUUGUCGACGUUACCUCUACCGUCGUCGUUACCCGAACUACGGGCCAAGAGGCAGUAGCCAGAGCCAUCAGUACAGGGGUAAAUGGGGUGGCUCCAGAGGAAGACCGUUACCCUACGGGGGAAGAGACCCGACCGUCGUCGGUUUACAAGGCUGCGAUGUGGAAGGCCCGUCGUCGGAAGUCAGCUCGUCUGAGGCUUCGAGUGAGUUACGUUCCCUAUACGGACACCUACUGAUGAGGGACAACGUCCUAUAACUAAGGGUCGAAUAUUUGCUAGACACGAUGAGCGCAGAACCAAGUAGUCGUCCUCCCUUGGUGUCAAGAGCCUGGUUCUCAGACUUGGGAAGUUUGGACCUACUAGAGAAGAGACGGCUCUACCAGAGCAGGGGCUCCAUGUUGUUACGACUAGUCCCACGAUACAAAAGUGGAAGGGUCUUCCGACGAUAGGAAUUGGUCAAGGUCGUUGUCGUCGUUGAAGAAAGUGGUUAGUUGUGUCCCAAGAGCGGUUUCCGACACCUAUUGGUCGUCUACGUAAGUGCGAGUAGGGAGGACGUUCGUAGUGAACCCUAUAGGAGGGGACCGGCCUACAGGGGGGCGACGCAGCUUAGACCCAGUGGCUACUUGAGGGUGGAUCGACGGCGGGAACGGGUCGCACUCUUCGUUGUCGUCGUCGUCGUGGUUGUCGUGGUCGUCUGUUACUCCUCGGAGUCAAGAGCGCUAGAGCCCGGGUCACGACGUUCUCGUAGCCGACGACAACCGAGAGGAGACUCGAGUAGUACCAGGUUCACCCCUAGAGGAAGUCCCCGUGGCCUAACCCCGCAGUUGCCACUUCUUAACCCAUUCGAAGCGGCCAGUAGAAGGAAACUCGACUCUAGUCCGCCGCUGCUGGGUCUAGAGAGGACCCACGUGUGUGACCAGUUCCUCAGAGGUGGUCUCUUCGUUCACUGGUGUCGACUUAGGUAGUUGUUGAGACAAUCUGGAAGUGGAGUUUACGUAGGGCCACAUUCAUUACCACUUCCGGGGUCACACUCGUGCGUCGACUUGGCUGUACUGGUUCGGCGCCAAUAACCUCGCGACGAGCUCGUCUACGUCGAACUGCUCGUCUAACCAUCAGAUCGUCGUUGUAUCUGCUUGUUGGUCUGCUCGGGCCCCCCCUCCACGCUCUUCUUCAAUGGUAACAAUCGAUUUCUUCUUAACGUUCAUAAAAAAACUAAAAGACAAGUAACGCCACCAGUCAGUCGUUCGUUCGUUCGUUCGCUUUUCCUACCUACCUAUCGACUUCCGCCACUAAGUCCCUAACCAAAAGCAAUUAAAAACCCUCCAUUUAGUUAUGUGUUGAUAACUCAAAGGUAAAGGUCAUCCUCCAAUUUAAUUUCUCACCUCAAUGGAUGGAGUCAAACCCCGGCUUGCCUCCAUCUCUCUUAGCGUGGGGCCGUCGAAGUCAAGUAGAGUAGUCGGUCUUUUCUAAAUCAACAGAUAAGACAAUUAAUUGGGACAAUAUAAUUUAAAAUUUUCUUCUUCCGAGUACACGGUACGGUCUUAAGAAAGGAGAAAAAAAUGGAACCACCAACGACAAAUAAAACAAAUAACAACACUACUGUACCUAUGAACUACAUGACUGCCCCAUAUUUACCAAUGGGCCCGUACGAUAUCAAGGUCCAGGGGUUUAUACAAAAUUAAGAUUAAGAAGGAAGUUGUACUAAACACUCUCCUAAAUGUGGUACCGGAACAAAAACCAGUC
RNAcentral lists this ribosomal RNA (3429 nucleotides) under Triticum aestivum (bread wheat). Its description in RNAcentral is "partial small subunit ribosomal RNA". The record is from RNAcentral. Lineage: Eukaryota; Viridiplantae; Streptophyta; Magnoliopsida; Poales; Poaceae.